Molecule: ribosomal RNA, 420 nt
Filed under: uncultured bacterium
Lineage: Bacteria
Description: bacterial SSU rRNA
Rfam family: Bacterial small subunit ribosomal RNA
Source: RNAcentral
AACGAACGCUGGCGGCAGGCCUAACACAUGCAAGUCGAACGCCGUAGCAAUACGGAGUGGCAGACGGGUGAGUAACACGUGGGAACAUACCCUUCGGUUCGGAAUAACUCAGGGAAACUUGAGCUAAUACCGGAUACGUCCGCGAGGAGAAAGAUUCAUCGCCGGAGGAUUGGCCCGCGUCUGAUUAGCUUGUUGGUGAGGUAACGGCUCACCAAGGCGACGAUCAGUAGCUGGUCUGAGAGGAUGAUCAGCCACAUUGGGACUGAGACACGGCCCAAACUCCUACGGGAGGCAGCAGUGGGGAAUAUUGGACAAUGGGCGCAAGCCUGAUCCAGCCAUGCCGCGUGAGUGAUGAAGGCCCUAGGGUUGUAAAGCUCUUUUACCCGGGAAGAUAAUGACUGUACCGGGAGAAUAAGCCCC